GUGAAGUCUUAGGAGCCAAAAAUCUCCCCAACCCCUCCCUUUCUUGAAGUCAAGAAAAUUAAUGAAAAACAGUCAUGCAUGGGAAUACUCCAUUAUGAAGAAGGAAAACUCAGUGCAAACAUAUCAUUUGAAGGGGCUUGCAGGUGGACCUGCAAGGGUCAAAGCCACACAAAACCAAAGAGUAAGGUCAAGUUCUAAAAUAUUUGUAUUCCACUGACUGCAAUGAAGGCUAAUGUGUGCCCUAAUUAAAUUGCUAAAUACUUCAUAUCUGUAAUGAGCUUAGGGAAAGGAAUCUAUUGUUUCAUUUUAGCAUUCAGUUUUAAGAAAGUUUUUAUUUAAUCCAGCUUUACCAAUUCUACUGAUUUGGGGCACG
This 373-nucleotide long non-coding RNA is filed under the name Homo sapiens (human). RNAcentral describes it as "long non-coding RNA NONHSAT200999". Lineage: Eukaryota; Metazoa; Chordata; Mammalia; Primates; Hominidae. The record is from RNAcentral.